AAGAAGGGAAAGGCUACACAAGUAAUGGGGGUCAAGUGUAUUAAGAGAAAGCAAAUAAAUUUAGUAUUUUGUCAGCAAAGCAUUGGAAUCCAUCAUUUUUUAGCAUUAAUAGGUAUAGGCUAAAAGAGGCAGUUUCAUUGCGUUUUUCUUUUGUAAAAUAGAAAGGAAGAUAUAAAAUGUACCAAAUUAGUGUGCAUUUAUUCAGCAGAAAUUAGUUGCAGUGGUAGGUAAGAAGAUGAUAAUAAGAAUAUAUUUUCUGAUACACGAAAGCAGCCAUGUUUGAAUAAUUUAUGAAUAUAUAUCUUAAAUAGUGGAUAUACAUGUAUGCUAUCAUGACCAUUGGGUUGCAUGUAUUAUUUCAACAGCAGUCACAGACGAGCAGGGCAUCUACUUCAAUUAGACGAUUUUUGACUUCCGAGUGAUGUCUGACUUAAUUCAGAGUACACCGCUCUCUACGAUGGAUCUAUCUGCUGAUUUCAACCUCGGAGUACGGCUACUCUUUGAGACGAUUAGACGGGUCAUACCUCUGAGCACGGUUAUCUCUUCGUCCAGUACAUCUUCGCAUGAUGACGAUCAUGUCGGAUACCCGUGGACAUUCUGUCGUGAGUCUACGUGCGAUUGCUUAGUCGAGACAUCAGCACAUAGAAACUACAUGAGACUUCCGAAGGACUGUAUACAUUCGUGGAUGUUGAGUAUCGUUUAUAUCUAGAACAGUUUAUUCGCAGAUAUCACAAA
This is a long non-coding RNA of Strongylocentrotus purpuratus (purple sea urchin), 735 nucleotides long. RefSeq lists it as uncharacterized. NCBI's taxonomy places the organism in Eukaryota, Metazoa, Echinodermata, Echinoidea, Camarodonta, Strongylocentrotidae. The record is from RefSeq and is a predicted model, not a curated record. The transcript has 2 exons.